Molecule: transfer RNA, 82 nt
Filed under: Bacteroidota bacterium
Lineage: Bacteria; Pseudomonadati; Bacteroidota
Also listed under: 1 other name
Description: Bacteroidetes bacterium tRNA-Leu
Rfam family: tRNA
About the family: Transfer RNA (tRNA) molecules are approximately 80 nucleotides in length. Their secondary structure includes four short double-helical elements and three loops (D, anti-codon, and T loops). Further hydrogen bonds mediate the characteristic L-shaped molecular structure. tRNAs have two regions of fundamental functional importance: the anti-codon, which is responsible for specific mRNA codon recognition, and the 3' end, to which the tRNAs corresponding amino acid is attached (by aminoacyl-tRNA synthetases). tRNAs cope with the degeneracy of the genetic code in two manners: having more than one tRNA (with a specific anti-codon) for a particular amino acid; and 'wobble' base-pairing, i.e. permitting non-standard base-pairing at the 3rd anti-codon position.
Source: RNAcentral
GCCCGGGUGGUGAAAUUGGUAGACACACCAUCUUGAGGGGGUGGCGCCGCGAGGCGUGCUGGUUCGAAUCCAGUCCCGGGCA